UGUUAUGGCGGCUGUGCGCGGGAGGCCCUAGGGCCUGCCGGUUUUGGUGAGUUGACCGGUUUUUCCAGUCCGCGCACAGCUGCCACCCUU
RNAcentral lists this non-coding RNA (90 nucleotides) under Pseudomonas sp. ok266. Lineage: Bacteria; Pseudomonadati; Pseudomonadota; Gammaproteobacteria; Pseudomonadales; Pseudomonadaceae. The record is from RNAcentral. RNAcentral also lists the same sequence under 1 other name.